CUUGAAACACGGACCAAGGAGUUUAUCGUGUACGCAAGUCAUUGGGUGAAUAAAACCUAAAGGCGAAAUAAAAGUAAAGAGUUGAGUUUAUAUAAAAUUAUAUUUUAUUAUAGCCUCUCUUAAGGGAAGAUGAAAAUUUAAUUUUUAAUAUAUUUUAUAUAUUAUUAAUAAAAAUUUUUCGCACUCCCGGGGCGCUUGUUUCACGCUUUGCGUGUCAAUGCGCACCUAGAGCGUACACGAUGAUACCCGAAAGAUGGUGAACUAUGCCUGGCCAGGACGAAGCCAGGGGAAACCCUGGUGGAGGUCCGCAGCGAUUCUGACGUGCAAAUCGAUCGUCGGAGCUGGGUAUAGGGGCGAAAGACCAAUCGAACCAUCUAGUAGCUGGUUCCCUCUGAAGUUUCCCUCAGGAUA
Molecule: ribosomal RNA, 411 nt
Filed under: Vesbius purpureus
Lineage: Eukaryota; Metazoa; Arthropoda; Insecta; Hemiptera; Reduviidae
Description: eukaryotic LSU rRNA
Rfam family: Eukaryotic large subunit ribosomal RNA
Source: RNAcentral